UGACUAUAGCUUUGAUAUUAUUUGAUAAAUUGCUUCCGUUGCUCAUGUAUAUAAAUUUUGAAUUAUAUAUGCAUGCUAGUCAUUUAGAAAUCCCAUGUGUUAAACUCAUAAUUUUCCCUUCAAGUGGUAUCAGAGCCAAAGGUUUAUAUAUAAUGUGUCCUUUUGGAUUUUAUGCAUAUGGGUAUUAAUAUUAUGUAUGACAUAGUUAUUGCUUCAUUCUAAAUAUGUUUAUCUUUUGUUUUUCAAUAGUUGAAAAAAUGUUAGUCAAUAGUUGAGAAAGAUAUGUAUGCAAAAGAUGUUUUGUAUGCAUGAAUGAAAAUUGAGUUUUGAACUAGUUUGACAUAUUAUUUCUUCAUUUAAAGUAUGUUUAUCUUUUGUUUUUCAAUGGUUGAAAAAUAUAAAUCAAGAGUUGAAAAAGAUAUGCAUGUAAAAAGGUGUUUUGUAUGCAUGAAUGAAGAGUAAGUCAUGAACAAAAUUUGGGUUUUUGAACCAAAGGGAGGGCACGGUUUUGGGGUGGUUUUUGGGUUGUGUUUGUGUUUAUUGUAAACCACUCACACAUCCUUUUAAAGCUAGAAAGUAGAAACCUUGUCACUUUUGUUUUUGGGUUUGAAAAAUCACCAAGAAUACACAAAUCUUGAAAAUAUGUUCAUGGUUUUGUUUUUGGUGAAAAUGGUUUUAUUUGGUUUUCAUGCAUUGUUUUGUGGUUUUGGAUGAUGUUCAUACCAUCCAUAACCAUAUCAUAAAUUUAUAAAACCCUAGACUUGACUAGGAGGAUUUCCAUCACUCUUUUCACUAAAGUCAUCAAAGCAAAACCAAGUGACAAGCAAAAUUUAAUUUUUUCUACAUAAUGUGGAAUUAAUACAUGUUGUGUAAGAAUGUGUAAGAGACUUCCCAUCUCCCCUUAAUGUGGCCGGCCUCCCCUAGUGGAUUUAUCCACUUGUGGGGCUAUUUUGUAAUUUGGAAAAGUUGAUAUUUUAUACUUUUGAGUAUUUACGGUUUGACCCCUAACUUUUUCUUAUUUGCAUUUAGGCCCCUACUAACUAGAAAGUUAAAAUAUUUGAUUUUAAUUUUGUUAGUUGUUUAAACUCAUAAUACUAUUAUGCCCAUAUGCACUAAAUCUAAAUGUUCAUGUUGCAUUCCAUUUUGAUUAUUUAAUGUGAUUAAGUAGUUAGAAAAUGGGUGACUAUGGACUUAUGCCUUAAACAAUAAUUGAGCUAUGAGAUAAGACGCUAAAAUCAAAUUGUUUGAACCUUGGGAAUGUGUUUUAAUUACUGUUUUUAUUGGACCUUGUCAUGUUUGACAUUAAUCUAUCUCUCCCUCUUAGUAUGUGUAAUUUGUAGGAAUUUGUACAAAUCGGUUUGUAAUUCUUAUUAUUUCUUAAUCUCUUUUAGUUAGUUGAUUCCCUCUAGUGCUAGACUAGAGUUUCUUUAACUAUUGGUAUGGAGACAUAACUAAAAGAGGGUUUUGACAUGAGAUUAAAGAUUAAAUGGGUCCAAUGCCCUAAUUAGCAAUGAAUGAUUGUCUUUCAUUUCUAAUGGCUCAAUGAAAAUGUUUUAAUUGGAUUGAAAAGCACGUAAUUAAAUUGACACAACCUCCCCGAGUUUAUAUUCAACAAUGUUGGCUCGUUGUUGCAAUAACCUAAUAAGUCCAUGGUCAUCCAAGAGCCUAAGAUAACUAUAAAGUCCAAUUUCAAAGGAAUGCAAAAACCUUAGUAGUAGUAGUUACUUCCAAUAUUUGAAAAAAUUCGUUUUUGAUAUUGAUUUGUUUUUCUUAAAACAAAUAGUGGGAGUAUCAUACGCUACUAAACUAUAAUGAAUACAAUUAGUAGUUAUAUAUAUCUCCAAUAUUUUGAUAUUGAUUUGUUUUAUGAAAACGAAUAGUGGGGAUAUCAUAUGCUACUAAUUUCAUUAACCUUGGACUAGUAGUUGUAAUAGGACAUUAUUUAUUUGAAUAUGAUUAAAUAAAUAAAAAUUGAUGAGACCUUAAAAUCCCUCAACCAACAUACAAUAUUAAGUUGAAAGCGUAAGAGUGCUUUGAACAUUUUUUCGUGGCCUUCCACCGUGGUAGGCUCCAAUCGUUUAUGACUUGUACAUCGCCUUCACCCUAUCAUGGGGGAGUGCAAAGUGCAUGCUUAUACUCAGGAGGAGUUUAUUUAAAACAUUUGAUGAGGUUAAGGUAGGCAACGAGUGUGGCCGACAUCGUAUCAUCGUGAGGUCAUGCUUGAACCCCUAUCUAAACCGGCAUGGUGGGAAAGAACUUAACUAAGAGAAAUGAUGCCAACAUCGUAUCAUCGUGAGGCAUUGCUCUCUAGAGGCCAAAAAGAUGGGUAAUCACAAGAGGUUGUUGUGAAUGGGUAAUUGCACCCUCUCAUUAUUAUUUUUGCUAGCCAACAUCGUAUCAUCGUGAGGUGGGCUUGGUAAUAGUGAGCCUCCCAUAACCCGCUAGGAGCUUUCUUUGAAAACUCCUGGAUUCCAUCUUGAGGGAUAUGGAAUUUGCCAAAAAUGGUGGGUGG
This 2512-nucleotide long non-coding RNA is filed under the name Malus domestica (apple). Its description in RNAcentral is "long non-coding RNA (MDOM_LNC020253)". The record is from RNAcentral. Lineage: Eukaryota; Viridiplantae; Streptophyta; Magnoliopsida; Rosales; Rosaceae.